GAUGAAGAACGUAGCGAAAUGCGAUAAGUAAUGCGAAUUGCAGAAUUUCCGUGAAUCAUCGAAUCUUUGAACGCACAUUGCACCUCUCGGUAUUCCGGGAGGUAUGCCUGUUCGAGCGUCAUUUGUACCCUCAAGCUCUGCUUGGUGUUGGGUGUUUGUUCCGCCUCUGUGUGUGAACUCGCCUCAAAACAAUUGGCAGCCGGCGUACUUGUUUCGGAGCGCAGCACAUUUUGCGAUCCAGAUCAACGUACAGCGGCAUCCAAGAAGCCUUAUUUAACGCUCUUGACCUCGGAUCAGGUAGGGAUACCCGCUGAACUUAAGCAUAUCAAUAAGCGGAGGA
This 340-nucleotide unclassified non-coding RNA is filed under the name soil metagenome. Its description in RNAcentral is "partial contains 5.8S ribosomal RNA, internal transcribed spacer 2, and large subunit ribosomal RNA". The stretch from base 1 to 121 matches the Rfam family "5.8S ribosomal RNA", at positions 35 to 154 of the family's 154-position model. The record is from RNAcentral.